RNAcentral lists this ribosomal RNA (1069 nucleotides) under Lindgomyces lemonweirensis. RNAcentral describes it as "SSU rRNA". It matches the Rfam family "Eukaryotic small subunit ribosomal RNA", at positions 72 to 1149 of the family's 1831-position model. The record is from RNAcentral. Lineage: Eukaryota; Fungi; Ascomycota; Dothideomycetes; Pleosporales; Lindgomycetaceae.
CAUUAUACCGUGAAACUGCGAAUGGCUCAUUAAAUCAGUUAUCGUUUAUUUGAUAGUACCUUACUACUUGGAUAACCGUGGUAAUUCUAGAGCUAAUACAUGCUAAAAACCCCGACUUCGGGAGGGGUGUAUUUAUUAGAUAAAAAACCAAUGCCCUUCGGGGCUCUUUGGUGAUUCAUAAUAACUUAACGGAUCGCAUGGCCUUGCGCCGGCGACGGUUCAUUCAAAUUUCUGCCCUAUCAACUUUCGAUGGUAAGGUAUUGGCUUACCAUGGUUUCAACGGGUAACGGGGAAUUAGGGUUCGAUUCCGGAGAGGGAGCCUGAGAAACGGCUACCACAUCCAAGGAAGGCAGCAGGCGCGCAAAUUACCCAAUCCCGACACGGGGAGGUAGUGACAAUAAAUACUGAUACAGGGCUCUUUUGGGUCUUGUAAUUGGAAUGAGUACAAUUUAAACCCCUUAACGAGGAACAAUUGGAGGGCAAGUCUGGUGCCAGCAGCCGCGGUAAUUCCAGCUCCAAUAGCGUAUAUUAAAGUUGUUGCAGUUAAAAAGCUCGUAGUUGAAACUUGGGCCUGGCUGGCCGGUCCGCCUCACCGCGUGUACUGGUCCGGCCGGGCCUUUCCUUCUGGAGAGCCUCAUGCCCUUCACUGGGUGUGUUGGGGAACCAGGACUUUUACUUUGAAAAAAUUAGAGUGUUCAAAGCAGGCCUUUGCUCGAAUACGUUAGCAUGGAAUAAUAGAAUAGGACGUGCGAUCCUAUUUUGUUGGUUUCUAGGACCGCCGUAAUGAUUAAUAGGGAUAGUCGGGGGCAUCAGUAUUCAAUUGUCAGAGGUGAAAUUCUUGGAUUUAUUGAAGACUAACUACUGCGAAAGCAUUUGCCAAGGAUGUUUUCAUUAAUCAGUGAACGAAAGUUAGGGGAUCGAAGACGAUCAGAUACCGUCGUAGUCUUAACCGUAAACUAUGCCGACUAGGGAUCGGGCGAUGUUAUUAUUUUGACUCGCUCGGCACCUUACGAGAAAUCAAAGUUUUUGGGUUCUGGGGGGAGUAUGGUCGCAAGGCUGAAACUUAAAG